UACGGAGGGUGCAAGCGUUAUCCGGAUUCACUGGGUUUAAAGGGUGCGUAGGCGGACAGGUAAGUCAGUGGUGAAAUCUCUGGGCUUAACCCAGAAACUGCCGUUGAUACUAUCAGUCUUGAAUACCGUGGAGGUGAGCGGAAUAUGUCAUGUAGCGGUGAAAUGCUUAGAUAUGACAUAGAACACCAAUUGCGAAGGCAGCUCGCUACACGAAUAUUGACUCUGAGGCACGAAAGCGUGGGGAUCAAACAGG
RNAcentral lists this ribosomal RNA (253 nucleotides) under uncultured bacterium. Its description in RNAcentral is "partial 16S ribosomal RNA". It matches the Rfam family "Bacterial small subunit ribosomal RNA", at positions 524 to 776 of the family's 1533-position model. The record is from RNAcentral.